This is a long non-coding RNA of Dreissena polymorpha, 566 nucleotides long. RefSeq lists it as uncharacterized. The transcript has 4 exons. NCBI's taxonomy places the organism in Eukaryota, Metazoa, Mollusca, Bivalvia, Myida, Dreissenidae. The record is from RefSeq and is a predicted model, not a curated record.
UAACGUUUCAAGAUGGCGGAGCGAAUUGCAUGGUUAUUGUUUCUACUCGAUGGAUUCGCAGAUACUUCGGAAAUAGAUCAGAUUGGGAUUAAUAACUUUAUUGCAUACGAUCAUUUACAUGUAUUACCUGGUGUGUGUUGCCAGUAAUGGUUGAAGAUAUGCCAAACAAAUUGUGCCUCUCUAUACAGACAGAUUUCAGGUCUCAAUUUCAACUUCAAAGGUCAACAUAUCACUGAUAUCAGGAAUUCUGUGAAACUGUGGCACCAUGUAUGGUACGUGAGCGCACAAUGUCUGUUGGAAAAAGGAUAUUGGAAUAAGCAAAGGGACUCAACAUUACACAGUCAUUUCAACAUGUAGAGUCUUGUCAGCAAAGAUGGAGCAGUACAUCAGAUUUCCAGAAUCUCGUCAUGAGCUGAAGAUCAUUGCCUAUGGAUUUCAUGAAUGAUGUAAAAUGAUUUGACUGUUGAUGGAACCCACAGUGCAUGUCCUGCUUCAACAUCUGAGCAUAGGUCCUUGUUUAUCAGCAGUUUAGUUCUUCAAGCAGUCUGUGACAGUAACUUGAAAUG